Molecule: unclassified non-coding RNA, 229 nt
Filed under: plant metagenome
Description: partial contains small subunit ribosomal RNA, internal transcribed spacer 1, and 5.8S ribosomal RNA
Rfam family: Eukaryotic small subunit ribosomal RNA (bases 1-54)
Source: RNAcentral
GGAAGUAAAAGUUGUAACAAGGUUUCCGUAGGUGAACCUGCGGAAGGAUCAUUCAUAAUAAGUGUUUUAUGGCACUUUUUUAAAUCCAUAUCCACCUUGUGUGCAAUGUCAGGGUUGGUCUCUUUUGAUCAGCCCCAAACAUCAACUAUUAUCUCAACUCUUUGUCUGAAAAAUAUUAUGAAUAAAACAAUUCAAAAUACAACUUUCGACAACGGAUCUCUUGGCUCUC